Long non-coding RNA from Callithrix jacchus (white-tufted-ear marmoset), 3006 nucleotides. The record is from Ensembl. Lineage: Eukaryota; Metazoa; Chordata; Mammalia; Primates; Cebidae.
AGAAACCAGGAGUCAGCCAGGUCACGGGGGUGGUGGGAGGAGUCCACCACUGCCAUGGGGUGUGAGUGUGAUAUGGUUUGGCUGUGUCCCCACCCUGAUCUCAUCUUGAGGUGUGGUUCCCAUACUCCCCAUGUGUCCUGGGAGGAACCAGGUGGAUAUGAUUGAAUCAUGGGGGUGGAUCCCCCUGUGCUGUUCUCAUAAUAGUGAGUUCUCAUGAGAUCUGAUGGUUUUAAAACGGGCUUCUCCCCACUUCACUCUGCACUUCUUCCUGCUGCCAUGUGACAAAGGACGUGUUUGCUUCCCCUUCCACCAUGAUUUUAAGUUUCCUGAGGCCUCCCCAGCCCUGCAGAACUCUGAGCUCCAAGUCUCCUUCUAUGCCAUCAAGCACUGCAAGCCUCUGCUCUCAGCCUGGAAGCCCUCUGCCUUCAAAGGCCCUUGAGGAGAACAUUUGGAAACUCUGCUUCCUCAGGGUCCGAUGUGAUGUCAAAAUCCAGCAGCCCACCAGCAAUUAAUGACAAAUCCCAGCACAGAUGCUGACAACAAGGGAAACCUUCAGCAUUGCUGAAGAUGCUGUUCUUUGUAUGGAAAAAGCAAAAAGGAAGGAGAAAGAGGGCCUGGGCCUUUUGACUCCAAACUCAGAGAAUGGACCAAAGUGGGGAGUGCAGCCAGAGCCUGAAACAGAGUCCUCAGCACAGCCCAACCCUGGACUGUACCCUUCCAGGAAACCCAAGACAUAACAUGGACAGGAGGCACCCAAACCAGGAAAGCUACAUGUGACUUCGUACUGACAGAAGUGCAGGCUCUGAGUGGUGCAGCCCUAUGUCCUUAUUGGGAUCUCACCCGCAGACCCGUACCCAGUGACGGAUGAACAAAUACACUCAAACACAGAAUACAGUGAAAGAGAGGGCUAGGGGUCCAUGGCCACAGAUACUGCAGAGAGAGUUAGCAGCUGGCACUCGGGGCAUUUAUUCAGUAUAGAUUUAAUAACAGAGACUCUGAGUCAACACACUUGUGGAUAAUGAUUAAAGAUCAGGUUCUGAGGCCUAAAGCAAACACCAUUUGUGAGUAAUAAACCCAGUCGCCCUUCUGCUGAGAGAGCCAUCUGGUCUGCAAAUGAUUAAAGGUUAGUUUUAGAACCAUGUGAGUAAACAACUUAUUUAGAUAAACUCUACUCUAUGUUAUUUUCGCAAGGAAAGGGGAUUAGGCUGCCUUCAACCAUAACCUCCUUCCCAAGGCUUUUGCAAAAACCUUCUGGCCUUCCAAGAAGGUUUGUGACUAUUAUAAUUAUGCAAUCUCUCCCACCAUCCUGACUGAACCCCCACAUGUCAUGAAUGUAGGUUGGCCAUUCUAUUUGGAAACAGGAGGCCAGGGUGGCUUUGUGUCUGGCAUUCUUUCUCUGUUGUCUUUAUAAAUACACCCAAAAAGAUUUGGUAACUUGACAGGUGCCAAGAAUAAGAAAUCUCCUGACCGAAAACUUAGUUGACAGCCAUUGUCAGUGUAAGAAAUACUCCUGUCCUUCCAGGAAAAGGUGUGCACCAACAUUCUAACUCCAAACUUGUCCAAAAUAUUUGCUUCUGGUUUCUGAAACUUUUUGGAUUGUAGAACCUUUUGAGUAUUAAUUAGGCAGAAGUUCUGGACCCUCAUUCCAGACAAAGAAGUUUUGUCUAUAAUUUCCCCUAAAAGCAAGGAGCUUUGGAGCUCACUUAUAACCUCCAGUUUAGCAUCCUGUGUUAGGUGAUGACAAAGAACUCCCUCCAAGGAGAAGAUUCUGCACUGUGAUGUGCAAAUUAUUAUUGUUAUCCCCAAAUACCUUGUAAAUGAUCAGUUUUAACCAAAAUUCAAGUUAUUUACAACAACUUACCAGGAACAUCUCUGCCGAUAAAGCAAGAUAUGCCUGUGGUAUGAAGGAGCAAGAUGGUCUCUGAGGGGGAAGGCUGGAAGAAACUGAACAAUGUGUGUCAAUUGCAAUCUGGACUGCUUCAAGAGAUUGUCUGAGUUGGAGUACAUCACUGAUACUUUCUUGAGUGUCUUGUCUGCUUCUGAUCAUUUGUCUGAGCAGCAUUUGUCCAAGGUGUGUUUAGUGACAAUGUUAGUAAUGAGUUUUGCGUAUGUUCUCUCAGCUGGUGUGAUUUAUUUCUGACUAGGUGGGCUAUAAUUUUGUGCUGCUGAAACAUAUGUUACCUUGCAGUUGAAAUAAGACUCCAGGAGUCAGGCUCAUUUUCCAUCUAUUUGGUUGCCACCUUUUCCUCCCCAGUACCCCAAAUGCACUGUCAGGAGUGGUCACUAGACCUAGAUGUUUUAGCAAUCACUGCCCAAUCCAGAUUUUCAGCUGGGAUCAUGUAAGCACUGAGUUUUGGGGGAACAUUUCUCUAAGGGCAGAGCAAGCUGCUUGGCAGGGUACUGGUUCUCUACAGGAAGAGCUGAAAGGCACGACCAGGCACACCCCAGUAAUGUGCAGUUUGUGCCCCACUGAGAAUGGAGGAGUGGGUGAGAGCCAGCUCACUCUUGGCUUAGCAAGCUCUGCAAUCUUGGUGUUGCGUCUGCCUAGAGAAGGUGGUUUUUACUAAUGCUCACAAAGACACUAUAUGGGUUAGCAAGGCCCUAAGAACACCACAGGUGUAAUGAUGGGCAGGUCAGGGGUGUAAGAGAAGGGUCCCAGGAGUGAGUCCCUGUCUGAUAUCUAUCCAGCCCUGAGGCUUUAUGGUAAAAACAGACAGGACAGGACCCACGAUAUGUUUAGCGUUGGUAUUUGGGAUAAGGCAUUGGCUUAGCAUGAGAAGCACUCAGGCCUCUCAGUGGACAAAACACUAGAGCUGGUGGCAGACAAGAAUCAACAUUUUUUCUGCUUACAAGUUGCUGCAAAUCGUUCAUCAGGGUUUUCAUACUGGGCCUCUCAUCUUCUCAACCUUGCAGUAAGUUCUAGAAGGACUGGGCCUUCUAUUUGUGUAAGGCCUGCUGAGUGCCACACCUGGCCCUGGACUUGUAGAAUUCAGUGUCUCUGGGCCC